GGCUGAGCCAGCGGCCACGGAGGUGGGGGAGCUGGGCAUCUGUCUGGCGGGGCGCUGGGCGGCUGAGGACUUCCUGGGCCCGUGGCCUUGGUGGACAGCCUG
Non-coding RNA from Ceratotherium simum simum (southern white rhinoceros), 102 nucleotides. The record is from RefSeq and is a predicted model, not a curated record. Lineage: Eukaryota; Metazoa; Chordata; Mammalia; Perissodactyla; Rhinocerotidae.